UACAGAGGUCCCGAGCGUUGUUCGGAUUCAUUGGGCGUAAAGGGUGCGUAGGUGGCGCUGUAAGUGGGGUGUGAAAUCCCGGGGCUUAACUCCGGAACUGCAUUCCAUACUGCGGUGCUUGAGGACUGGAGAGGAGACUGGAAUUUACGGUGUAGCAGUGAAAUGCGUAGAGAUCGUAAGGAAGACCAGUGGCGAAGGCGGGUCUCUGGACAGUUCCUGACGCUGAGGCACGAAGGUCAGGGGAGCAAACGGG
RNAcentral lists this ribosomal RNA (253 nucleotides) under uncultured bacterium. RNAcentral's name for it is "partial 16S ribosomal RNA". It matches the Rfam family "Bacterial small subunit ribosomal RNA", at positions 524 to 776 of the family's 1533-position model. The record is from RNAcentral.